CGACGUCGGUUCCUCCUCCUGUCUGCAGGCUGACAGGAGGAUUUUACGACGUCGCAGAGAAACUCGGCUCUCUUUCACCCGGGAAGCUCGCGGCUCCGGCCGACACCACACCGGCUUCCCGGUUUUGCGGGACCCAACAGAC
This is a small nucleolar RNA of Fundulus heteroclitus (mummichog), 142 nucleotides long. RefSeq annotates it as small nucleolar RNA SNORA79. The record is from RefSeq and is a predicted model, not a curated record. NCBI's taxonomy places the organism in Eukaryota, Metazoa, Chordata, Actinopteri, Cyprinodontiformes, Fundulidae. The transcript has a single exon.